Molecule: ribosomal RNA, 329 nt
Filed under: uncultured eukaryote
Lineage: Eukaryota
Description: partial 18S ribosomal RNA
Rfam family: Eukaryotic small subunit ribosomal RNA
Source: RNAcentral
CCCUUAGAUGUUCUGGGCCGCACGCGCGCUACACUGACGAUGGCAACGAGUUUUUCCUUCGCCGAAAGGUGUGGGUAAUCUUUUGAAACAUCGUCGUGCUGGGGAUAGAUCAUUGCAAUUUUUGAUCUUGAACGAGGAAUUCCUAGUAAGCGCGAGUCAUCAGCUCGCGUUGAUUACGUCCCUACCCUUUGUACACACCGCCCGUCGCUACUACCGAUUGAAUGGUUUAGUGAGGACUCCUGAUUGGCGCCGCCGCCCCGGCAACGGAGCAGCGGACUGCCGAAAAGUUGUUCAAACUUGAUCAUUUAGAGGAAGUAAAAGUCGUAACA